UGGGGAAUAUUGCACAAUGGGCGCAAGCCUGAUGCAGCAACGCCGCGUGAGGGAUGACGGCCUUCGGGUUGUAAACCUCUUUUAGCAAGGAAGAAGCGAAAGUGACGGUACUUGCAGAAAAAGCGCCGGCUAACUACGUGCCAGCAGCCGCGGUAAUACGUAGGGCGCAAGCGUUAUCCGGAAUUAUUGGGCGUAAAGAGCUCGUAGGCGGUUUGUCGCGUCUGCUGUGAAACCCCGAGGCUCAACCUC
Molecule: ribosomal RNA, 249 nt
Filed under: uncultured bacterium
Lineage: Bacteria
Description: partial 16S ribosomal RNA
Rfam family: Bacterial small subunit ribosomal RNA
Source: RNAcentral